Cucurbita maxima (winter squash) is the source of this 1399-nucleotide long non-coding RNA. RefSeq lists it as uncharacterized. The record is from RefSeq and is a predicted model, not a curated record. Lineage: Eukaryota; Viridiplantae; Streptophyta; Magnoliopsida; Cucurbitales; Cucurbitaceae. The transcript has 2 exons.
CAACGAGAUGAAUGGUGCGAGUUUUUCUAUGGGUAUAACUAUGGAAAAGCUCGUUGGCAAUAAAGUUAUUGGAAGUUAUGCAUGGAAGUUUAUCUACAAGGGCAAGACUUGUGGGAUUUAAUGGAAGGUAAAUGACACAUACAUUCCAGCAAUGCUCUACAGAAUGCAACAUUGUGUCAACAAUGGAAGAUCAAAUGCGGAAAAACUUUAUUUACCUUGCGAAAUUUGAUUAGCAAAGAGUAUAUUGAUCAUGUUCAUGAUUUAAAGUCACCAAAGCAAGUAUGGGAUACACUUCAAAAAUUGUUUACUAAGAAAAGUACCGCUCGACUGCAAUUUAUAGAGAAUGAACUAGCUAUGGUAACUCAAGGAAACCUUGAUUAAGCAAAUGACUAGCAGCAACGAGUUUUCCCGAAAGUCAGAAGGUGUGUUGUAUGUCAAAGAUCAAAGGAGAUAGAAUUUUCAUUCAAAGCCUUCAUUUAGCAAUGAGAAUCAAUUCAGAAGUGAGGAGUCGUCAAAGAAGCCAUUUAAAGCUUGUUAUAGGUGUGGAAAACCAGGUCAUUUUAAACGAGAUUGUCAGGUGAAAGUGGUAUGUGAUCGUUGUGGAAAGCCAAGCCAUAUUAAGUCAAAUUGCCGAGUCAAAAUCGAGGAAUUAGAAGCAAAUGUUGUACAUGAAAGUAAAAAAUCUUUGGAUCAAUUUGGGAAUACUGCUUAACCACUGAGGUUCUUGAUCAGCCAACAAACGUGACUUCAGCCGUAUAUCAAGAUGAUGUCUCUACAGGUGAUCAAAAUUCUAAUUCCACUAACGCUUCUGAAUUUGAUUAUCUCCAAAUUUCGCCUCUGGACUCUCUCUUUUUCUCCAAUGCCAAUUUUGUUGUCCCUGAUGACCCUUCUGUUUAUUUCACGGCUUUGGAUUUGGGAUUCGACGGAAAUGAAGUCUUCAAGCUAACCUUUGACGAUCUUGACGGACUUUACCUCCCCUUUGAGGCUGACGAUUUCCUCAUUUGGGAGAAUUUGAUCAAACUACCAAUUCACAGGAUUCUAAUGCUCAUCCCCCGCCUGACCUAGAAAUAGCGGCUCUGCUUGAUGAUGAUGAUUUAUCACAAUUUGAUUUUGAUUUUGAGGACUUGAAGGAGGAUUUUGUAGUUCAGGAAAAUUUAUGUGAAGAAGGGGAGGAUGAUUCAACGGAUAAUAAGUUUUAGUGUGGCUAAGGAUUUUGAGAAGGCGACAGGAAGCCAGAAUAUUGUUAAUAACAAAUCUUUUGGCGACGACAUUUUUUAGGAUGCAGACGUUGACCAUGUGGAAGAUGAUGUUGAUAAGCCACAAACUCGGCGGCUUUUGGAUGAUCAAUUUGACACCCUCUUAAGUCAGGACUAUGCAUCUAGUGACGAUGGUGACAGUG